RNAcentral lists this long non-coding RNA (556 nucleotides) under Vigna radiata. RNAcentral's name for it is "long non-coding RNA (VRAD_LNC006699)". Lineage: Eukaryota; Viridiplantae; Streptophyta; Magnoliopsida; Fabales; Fabaceae. The record is from RNAcentral.
ACGGAUCCUGGAGUAAGAUAAUAACACCAAUCCUCUGCUACUCCUUGUAAUGACUAAUAAAAUGCCCUGAUGAAAAUGUCAUGAUUCGGGACAUCUGGAGGUUUCAUUGAAGAGCAAAUGGUGUAGAAUUCCUCCAAAUGUCUAUGUGGGCAUUCACCUACAAAACCAUGAAACUUAGGCAGCCAAUGUAUCAGUCCAGUGUUGAAAACACAACGAAUAUCCUCCUCAUCAAGUGGAAACGGCUCCCUAGGAGCACUCUCAUGAGAUGGAGGAGGAAUCAUACUGCUCUCAACAUAGAAAUCAGCAGAAUAUACAUGAGAAGCAAUAUCAGAGUUAAAUGCAGAAGGAGAAUCAUAGUCAUGACAUAGGCAGAAGAAGCAGUAUUCACAAAAUCAAGAUAGGUGUACAUGUAGAGAGAAAGAAGGGGGAUAAGAAGAAUGCAAUGAAAAUAUGCAACUAAAGCUUAUCUAAAUGCAACACACAAUGACGAACACAUACAAACAGAACGACACACUCACAACACAAGAAAAAACACAACACACACUAACACAACAAA